AUUGAACGCUGGCGGCAUGCUUUACACAUGCAAGUCGAACGGUAACAGGCCUUCGGGUGCUGACGAGUGGCGAACGGGUGAGUAAUGCAUCGUAACGUGCCCAGCGGUUGGGGAUAACGCAGCGAAAGCUGUGCUAAUACCUCAUGUGAUCUGAGUUUGAAAGCUGGGGACCAGGCAGCACUGUUUGGCCUCGCGCCUUUGUAGCGGCCGAUGUCCGAUUAGGUAGUUGGUGGGGUAAAGGCCUACCAAGCCGACGAUCUGUAGCUGGUCUGAGAGGACGAACAGGCACACUGGGAGUGAGAAACGGCACAGACUCCGACGGGAGGCAGCAGUGGGGAAUUUUGGACAAUGGGCGCAAGCGUGAUCCAGCAAUGCCGCGUGCGGGAAGAAGGCCUUAGGGUGGUAAAACGAUGUUGUACGGAACGAAAAGGCUCUGGCUAAUACCUGGGGCUGAUGACGGUACCGUAAGAAGAAGCACCGGCUAACUACGUG
RNAcentral lists this ribosomal RNA (492 nucleotides) under uncultured bacterium. Its description in RNAcentral is "partial 16S ribosomal RNA". It matches the Rfam family "Bacterial small subunit ribosomal RNA", at positions 30 to 507 of the family's 1533-position model. The record is from RNAcentral.